UGUAAGAAUGUAGGAAUUUCGGACGCGGGUUCAACUCCCGCCAGCUCCACCA
This 52-nucleotide transfer-messenger RNA is filed under the name Salmonella enterica. RNAcentral's name for it is "partial transfer-messenger RNA". It matches the Rfam family "transfer-messenger RNA", at positions 315 to 374 of the family's 374-position model. From Rfam's summary of the family: Bacterial tmRNA, also known as 10Sa RNA or SsrA, is named for its dual tRNA and mRNA-like properties. Its role is to liberate the mRNA from a stalled ribosome. To accomplish this part of the tmRNA is used as a reading frame that ends in a translation stop signal. Lineage: Bacteria; Pseudomonadati; Pseudomonadota; Gammaproteobacteria; Enterobacterales; Enterobacteriaceae. The record is from RNAcentral.